Molecule: ribosomal RNA, 500 nt
Filed under: uncultured bacterium
Lineage: Bacteria
Description: partial 16S ribosomal RNA
Rfam family: Bacterial small subunit ribosomal RNA
Source: RNAcentral
AUUGAACGCUGGCGGCAUGCCUUACACAUGCAAGUCGAACGGCAGCACGGGAGCAAUCCUGGUGGCGAGUGGCGAACGGGUGAGUAAAGUAUCGGAACGUGCCCAGUCGUGGGGGAUAACGUAGCGAACGUUACGCUAAUACCGCAUACGAUCUAUGGAUGAAAGCGGGGGAUCGCAAGACCUCGCGCGAUUGGAGCGGCCGAUAUCAGAUUAGGUGGUUGGUGGGGUAAAGGCUCACCAAGCCGACGAGCUGUAGCUGGUCUGAGAGGACGAGCAGCCACACUGGGACUGAGACACGGCCCAGACUCCUACGGGAGGCAGAAGUGGGGAAUUUUGGACAAUAGGCGCAAGCCUGAUCCAGCCAUGCCGCGUGCAGGAUGAAGGCCUUCGGGUUGUAAACUGCUUUUGUACGGAACGAAAAGGUUUGGCUUAAUACGUUGAACUCAUGACGGUACCGUAAGAAUAAGCACCGGCUAACUACGUGCCAGCCGCCGCAGUAA